GAGAAAGUGAAGGAAGACUAUGAGUAUCACGGGUGACCAGGAUUUUGUCUCAGGGUCAGCUAAUAUUGAGCAGAGCCAUGUAGCUAGGAUAUGGAGGCACCACUUCCUGAGACUAUUCAGAGAGAAGCACUGGGAAGAGAGAGUAGACAUGCCCAGAAAAUAUCUGGAUAUGUAGGACUCAGGAAAGUGGUUUGGGCUGGAAAGAGAAAUUUGGGAGACAAAGAUGGUAAAUAACAUCACCCUGAGAAAGCCUCUGGAGGACAUAUUAAAAUAGAUUGCUUCAUCUUCAACAAUCGUCUUGAAGAUAAAUCCUGUUCAAGCAGACCCUGGAUUCAAGUUUGUGGUGUUUAAUUCUUUUACAGAUUGAUGAAUUUGAUCUGCUGAUAUUUUGUUGAGGAUUCUUGUGUGUGUGUUAAUCAGGGCUAUUGGAUCCAGGUUGAAGGACAUGCCAUUCUGGUGAGAGGAGGGACAAAAGCAAUCACAAC
This 485-nucleotide long non-coding RNA is filed under the name Equus caballus (horse). RNAcentral's name for it is "lncRNA (ENSECAG00000053826.1)". The record is from RNAcentral. Lineage: Eukaryota; Metazoa; Chordata; Mammalia; Perissodactyla; Equidae.